GUCACUCCCGAACAAAACGAGAUAAGUCGAAACAAAGUAAAUGUAUCGGAAGAUGUAUUUAGAAUAUAUUAGAAAUAACUUAGUAUAUUACCAAAACUUAUGUUAAUAAAUUGUAAAAUAUUGUAGUAAGGAAAUUUUAGCCCUUAUUAUAAUUUAGUUAUGUAAAUAUUAAAUAUAAUCUUAAAUAAUUUAAUUUAUAUAAAAAUUAUCAUAUU
Molecule: ribosomal RNA, 215 nt
Filed under: Franklinothrips vespiformis
Lineage: Eukaryota; Metazoa; Arthropoda; Insecta; Thysanoptera; Aeolothripidae
Description: small subunit ribosomal RNA
Source: RNAcentral